GUUUAUCAAAAACAUGUCUUUUUGAAUUUAAUUUAAAGUCUAACCUGCCCACUGAAUAGUUUAAAUGGCCGCAGUAUUUUAACUGUGCAAAGGUAGCAUAAUCAUUAGUCUUUUAAUUGAAGGCUGGAAUGAAUGGUUGGAUGAAAUAUUAACUGUUUCAUAAAAAUUUAUAAUAGAAUUUUAUUUUUUAGUGAAAAAGCUAAAAUUUAAUUAGAAGACGAGAAGACCCUAUAAAUCUUUAUAUUUUAUUGGGGUGAUAUUAAAAUUUAAUAAACUUUUAAUUUAUUAUUUACAUAAAUUAAUGAAAUUUUGAUCCACUAUUAGUGAUUAAUAUUUUAAGAUACUUUAGGGAUAACAGCGUAAUUUUUUUAGAGAGUUCAUAUUGACAAAAAAGAUUGCGACCUCGAUGU
Molecule: ribosomal RNA, 410 nt
Filed under: Apocephalus dichromatus
Lineage: Eukaryota; Metazoa; Arthropoda; Insecta; Diptera; Phoridae
Description: partial 16S ribosomal RNA
Rfam family: Bacterial large subunit ribosomal RNA
Source: RNAcentral